This 551-nucleotide ribosomal RNA is filed under the name Russula fragilis. Its description in RNAcentral is "mitochondrial SSU rRNA". It matches the Rfam family "Bacterial small subunit ribosomal RNA", at positions 359 to 952 of the family's 1533-position model. Lineage: Eukaryota; Fungi; Basidiomycota; Agaricomycetes; Russulales; Russulaceae. The record is from RNAcentral.
GAAUAUUAGUCAAUGCUCGAAAGAGUGAACUAGCUAACUGAAAUCAAUUAAAAAUAAUUGAUAACAUAAGGGAAAAUAAUGAUAAUACCUUAUUAUAAGUGUCGUCCAAAACUGGUGCCAGAAGACUCGGUAAGGCCAGAGACACAAACGUUAAUCGUCUUAAUCAGGCGUAAAGGGUUUGUAGGCGGCUUUUAAAUUAAUUUAAUUUAAUUUAUUAAAAAUAAAUUAAAAAUAAAAGCUAGAAUCAAAUAUAGGAUAUGUUAAAGAAUGCUUAGAGUAGGUCUGAUAUCCUUAGAUACUAAGUAGAAUACUAAAGGCGAAAGCUUUUUUCCAAUAAUGAUUGACGCUCAGAAACGAAGGUGAGGAUAGGAAAUAGGAUUAGAUACCCAAAAUACCCCUCUCUGUCAACGAUGAAUGGUAAUUAUUAGUAAAAAUUAUUAAUAAUAAUGUUAACACGAUAACCAUUCCGCCUUGUGAGUACAAUUGCAAAGUUGAAAACAAAAAAAUUAGUCGGUUUCGGAGCAAACGAAGUGAAGCAUGUUAUUUAAUUC